Molecule: non-coding RNA, 45 nt
Organism: Schistosoma haematobium
Lineage: Eukaryota; Metazoa; Platyhelminthes; Trematoda; Strigeidida; Schistosomatidae
Source: Rfam
AUUCAGCUGACGAGUUCGAAAUAGAACGAAACGCACGUCCUGGAU